GGGUGGAUGAUUGUGUUCGGUCUUCACACUAAAUGUGCCAGUAGUUGAUAGAAGAUGUAAAGAAGUGAACGUUAUUCCGUUGUCCCGUGCAGCAAGGCUCUCAGGAUAAAACUGCGUUUGAUGUGCAUCGCUUAAAUCUUUUCGCUAAAACCCGAGGAAUACAAACAGGACUUACCUCAAAUAUUAAUACUUUCGAGAAUUUAUAGACUCAUUUCGAAAUGGCGACCACUGCAAACGCAGUGGCUGUGGCAACAACACCGCCGACGGCUACAACCCCGACGACCAAUACCGCAACUACACCAGAUGAUAAAAGUUCACGUCAAUUUCCUAAGGCUGGCACACGAGCUCUUCUCAUUGAAAAGCAACCACAAAAACUAUAACUGACUUAAAUUAUGCAGUAACUUCGGAAACCAUUGUGAACAAUCCAAGAUUAGCAAAACAACUCAGCAUAGAUGGGAAAAAAAGUGAACCAAAGAAUUUUACCAUUAGAAAGAAAUUAUUGGAAUUUCAAAUAGGAAUUUGCAAC
RNA transcript from Octopus bimaculoides (California two-spot octopus), 526 nucleotides. RefSeq lists it as uncharacterized. NCBI's taxonomy places the organism in Eukaryota, Metazoa, Mollusca, Cephalopoda, Octopoda, Octopodidae. The record is from RefSeq and is a predicted model, not a curated record.